UCCUUUUCUGGUCCAGGAUGGCCGGAACCUACCGGAUGGGGGGACGAAGAAGAAAAAGAAGUAACAAAGCCUUCUGAACCAACAAAAACUGAGGAGCCUGUGAUUCUCAGUAGUUCGUUCCUCUUGAAUCAGUCCUUUACUGGUCCAGGAUGGGGACCUACCGGAUGGGGGGACGAAGAAGUAACAAAGCCUUCUGAACCAAAUUAUGCUGCCCAUGGAUGGGAAUCAAACCAACAUGAAAAUAUUGAAACAAACUCAUGGGAACAACAGUAUCAUGCUCCCGUUGAUGAACAUGCAAAAGAAUAUGGAUGGUGGCAAACUGGUCAGAGUGAUUAUCAUGGAUGGAAUCAAGGAUGGAAUCAGGGAUGGAAUCAGAGGGAGCAAUAUGGUGGUGGCUUGCAUAACAAGUGUCAAGAAAGAAAUGCUGGGAGUGGAAAUUGGGCAGCGGGGGAUGGAUAUAACAGAAAGAGAGAAAACAACAUGUCAUGGUCUAAGAACCCUGGAUAUCAUCGUGGUGCUAAUGAUUAUCAGAUGAAUAGAGGAAGAAGAGGAAAUGGAGGAAGUAGUGGAGGUGGAGGAAGGAGGGCCAAUUUUGGUUAUGCGGACAAGGUAGCUACUUCUGGUGCAUGGUAAAUGAAGAUCAAAUACCUUGGACUGCAAGCAAAGACUCCUAUGAUGAAGCUGAUAAAGGGUCAGUUUUGUGAAAGUAGUUGAGGAUAUAAGUUUUGUUAUCUCGUUAUUAGAUAUGUGAUAUUAUAUCAACAUAAGAAUUAUGGGUUUUUCUAUUUUUUUACAUUCAUCACAUGGAUUUAUGGUCUAUUUGUGUUUGUACUUUAAGAAAUGUUUUUCGUGGUGACAGAUAAUCCGGUGCAUUACUGGUAUUAUUGAAAUAUGAAAUAAGCAAUUACUAUUAAAUGAAGCUAAAUUGUUUAAUUCUUGUCUUCUUCAUUAUCUUUAUAGUCUGAAUGUAGGAUGAAUUAGCUUAGUAUAUAAAUUAGCCUCUAAACAAACACAGAUAAUACAACAAUUACUUUAAUACAUAUAUGCAAGUUUCCUUAAUGUGCAUCACAUUUGAAUGUUUUAGGGUAGGAUUGUUGUUAUUUAUGGACGAGAAGCAGCUGGUAAGCCAACAGUUCUCUUCAAAUUAUUAAAGAAGCUCAAAUGCUUUGAGGUACAUAUCAGACUUCUUGUAUGUUAGCAUUUAAAUCUCACUGUAUAUAGAUAAUUUUUUUUUUCUUUCUCAAUUAUAUGAAAGUAAGUACUCAAUUAUUAAUGCAAGAUGCCCAGUAAACUACUUGUCUCCUGUCAAUUUUAUAAAUUCUUUUCGUUUUUUUCCAUGUUAAUCCUCUGGUUCCUAGGGGAAGGGGCCGUAGUAAUCUGGAUCUCGGCCGUGAGGUAAGUAAAUUCUAUUCAUUCUGUUUGCACUUUGCAGGAUAUUGGGCAUAUCUUGAUGUAGAAAGUGCAUUAGACCUUUCACUUGUGGAGUCAAUGGGUGUAAAUACCAAAAACCUUCUCAUCUCAAAUCCCGAUUGUGCUGAAAAUUUGUUGAGCAUGGUUGAUACACUAACAAAAAGUGGAGCUGGAGAUGUGAUUGUGGUUGAUAGUGUAAGUUAUUGUGCAUAGCCAUUUACAUUCUAAGUUGUUUAGGAAAACCAACAUUUUUGUAAAAUGUCUCUGCGUUGUCAUAAGAUGAUUGUCAUUCCAGGUUGCUUCUCUUGUCCCAAAAUGUGAACUUGAUCAAUUGGGAGUGGCCACAAAUCAAGAAUUACAUUCGCAAAUAAUGAUUCAAGCACUUCGGAAAAUUAAUUAUUCAUUUCCUGCUCCCAAACCCUCUUAGUUUUUGUUAAUCAGGUCAAAGUCAGAUUACUUGAAAUUGUGCAUGUUAUCAUUUGACUGUCAAUUUGUACAAUAUACAAAUGAACCAUUAGAUUUAUCAUUUGAUACCGUCUCUUGUAUACAGGUUAGAUUUAGUCCAAAAGCAUUUGUCGGACGUGGACCUAUGGAAGAGGUCACUUUUGGUGGAAAUGCUUUGAGAUUCUAUGCAGCUGUUCAUUUGCGACUUUUCAAGAAUUAGAUUGAUCAAAACUGAAGAUAUGGUGAACUCUUGAAUAUAUUUGAAGUACUAUCAGGCAGGAUUUAGAUGUCUUUGAUUUGGCUUGUGAACAUGGACAUGGACUCAUAAUUAUGAAAGAUGAUGAACACUACUUUUAGUAGUAGAGAAGCUGCUGAACUAUUUUUGGCUAAAAAUAAAAGUAUUUGUGUCAAGUUAGUUAUGGACAUGAAAAGACUUUAUCUUUAAAAAUUUGGCAAACCUCCGAAUGUUCUGGAUCAUCGAUGAUCUAAGCCAAACUGCAGACUUAAUGUGAUUAAAAAACUUGUCAAUCAUAUUCACAAGGCAUCAGUAUUGCCUUCAAUAGAUAGGCAUCAACCACUCUAUAGAUGAGCAAAUAGCAUUUAAGUUACAAGAAUUGUCAGCUGCUAUGAUGUGACUAUGUGAAACCCUUUGGAUGUAGGUGUGGAGUACUGAGCCUUCCUCCACAUUCCACCCCCUUAACUGCUAUACCAGCCAACCUCAGAAAUCUACUAUGCAAUGUAGCUUCCUCUAACCAAAGGAUCAUUCUAAAACAAAGUAUUUUCAACACGAUCCCAUUAAAAGCCCCUCUUCUGAUUAUCCGGAUAUCCUUCCACCACUCUGAGGCCUUAUUCCCUCCAUCGCUAAUACUGCCAUCAUCCAUCCCAUUUUUUUUCCUCUAGAACACGCUUGCACAACCCCUUCCUCGUCUUAAAAUAACCUCAAACAUUACCUAAUUGUGAUAUAUUGAAUUCCUUAACCCUCUGAACACAUGGGCUCCCUAACUCCAGCCUAAGCACAACUUAUCCCAAUUAACACAAUGUACCAUAAGAGCCACACCACCAUCACCCCCUCCCAACAAAAAAGAUUUAAAAAGAGGUUCAAUGGUAGGAAUUAUACAUGCGAAGACAAGACAACUUUUAGAAAACGAGGAUCCCCAUAGACAGUNNNNNNNNNAAAUAUAUUAUUGAUGAUUUUAAGAAAUUCUAUACACGUAUUUGUACAAAUAUUAAUGUAAAUAUUUGUUUACAGUUUAUUUUUAAUGACUAUAAGAAACUCAACAUAUAUAUUAGUUCAAAGUAUUAGUACAAAUAUUAGUUUAUAUUCUAUUAUUGAUGAUUUUCACUCUGUAUAUUUACGUAGAGUAUUAUUUUUAAGUUAUAUAGUUUAAUUUUAUAAUAAUGAACUUUGAUUUUGUUCGUCCAAAAAUAACGUAUACCUGAUUGAAUUUAUAAUAUUGAGUAAAAUUAAUUGAACAAACGUAUAUAAAUAAGUUCUGGGUUCGAUCCCCAACUCAUUGUAAACAAAAAAAAAAUGUAUAUAAAUAUGAACAUAACAUCUUAUUUGCUUAAAAAAAAAUCUUAUUUGAACACAAAUUUGACCAACAUAUAUUUUUACACGGUAUAUUUUUAUAUAUAAUAUUAUUUUCAUAUUUAAUUUGUAUAUUAAAAAAAAUUGUGGCCCCCCCAAAUUAUUUUUUCUGGUUCCGCCACUGCUCGCGGGCGAGCAACACCUGAAGCAUCAGCUAUCAAAACAUUACUAAGCUGAGGAGGACAACUAUACCAAAUUUUUAGGGGACAUAUGAGGUAUCAAUCCUAUAAUUUAAAGGAGAAUGUUAACUUGUGCCCUUAAGGGCACAUUUUAAGGAGAUAAAUAUAGAAAAAAUUUAUUGAACUUGUGGUGUAUUCAAUUUUCUAAACAUUAAAUUCUUUAUAUCAUUAAAUGCUAUAUUUCUAUUUUUAGGUAGCUUAACAUGUGCCCUUAGGGCACAAGUUAACAUAACCCUAAUUUAAAAUAGUGGGCCUAAAUUUAUAUUGAUAAUUUUGUUUUUCAUCCAUUGUGAAUCCAACUUGAAUGUAACAUUAGUUGGCCAUAGCUCGAUUUUCUACUAGAUAAUAAAUAAAUAUGAUAUUUAAUGACUUCCGUUUAAAACAUUUGAAGUAUAGGGUCGUUUCAGCUUUGGCUUAUGAAAAGACCAUUCAACCAUAUCUUAUCAUUGAUUCACACACACCAUCAACUUUACAUUAUGAGAGCAUGAUUGCAAAAAUAAGUUUUGAGAUUUUGUGGUAAGUCCAAUAACUAGCUUAUAGCUUAUUGAACUAGCUUAUAAGUUUGUUUAAUAAAAAUGUAAAGUGUUUGGUAACAAGUUUCUCUAACUAGCUUAUAACGUUUCCCGAUAUACUAUUUCAAAUAGCGUAUGAGCCUAUAUCUUAUAGUUUUUUACAUUUAUUCCAUAUUUACCCUUAUUAUUUUUAUUUUUUAUUUUUUUAAAAUCAUAAUAACUACCCACUAAUCAUUUUAUCAACAAAAAAAAUCAUUCAGUAACGAUAUAUUUUUAUGUCAUUUUAUACUUACAAAAGCUUAAUUUAUCAAACACUUUGAUUUUAGGGUAAAUGAUCAUUUACCCCCCUGCAAAAUAAGCAAAUUUUCGUUUACCCCCCUGCACAGAUUUUUUUUCUGUUUACCCCCUUGCAAACAAUAGAUUCCCUCAUUUCGCCCCCUGGGUGUACAGCANNNNNNNNNNNNNNNNNNNNNNNNNNNNNNNNNNNNNNNNNNNNNNNNNNNNNNNNNNNNNNNNNNNNNNNNNNNNNNNNNNNNNNNNNNNNNNNNNNNNNNNNNNNNNNNNNNNNNNNNNNNNNNNNNNNNNNNNNNNNNNNNNNNNNNNNNNNNNNNNNNNNNNNNNNNNNNNNNNNNNNNNNNNNNNNNNNNNNNNNNNNNNNNNNNNNNNNNNNNNNNNNNNNNNNNNNNNNNNNNNNNNNNNNNNNNNNNNNNNNNNNNNNNNNNNNNNNNNNNNNNNNNNNNNNNNNNNNNNNNNNNNNNNACUUUUGUUCAAUUUUCAGUUUUUGCAUGGAUUACUCAUUAGUACUCAUCUUUCACUUUAUAUUUUCUUUUAAUUUGUUUUUUGUCAUGCUAGAAAAAUUGGGUCAGUGGUAGAAUUGUUAAACAUAUCAUGAUGAUCAAGGUUUUUAAAUGAAUUUGCAUCACAAUUUUUGAUAUAUGUGAAUAAUUUUGUAUGUGCCACCUGAUAAGGGCAAGGUGGGGUUGUAAAAUAUGAUGAUGUAGGGUUUAGGUUCAAUAAUUGAAGGGAGUGUCACUAAGGAUAUGAAUGAAAUGUUGUCAUUUUUUUGGUUGGUAGGUUGUAAUUUCUUGUUGUUGUUGGUGUUUUGUAUGUUCAUCAGGUGGUUGGUUGGUCCCUACGUUGUUCAAUUAUUGAAAUUGACAGUGAUGAUAGAUAACUAAGAUUCUGUUUGAUUCGAUCUUUUGCAGAUUAUGUUUUGUAGUAAUUUCUGUUUGUGUUGUUCUUUGAAUUAAUACUGGCUAUGGUUGUAAUAAUUCUAAUUGAAUAUCUAAAAUCAAAUCUUUUGGUAGUCAAAAAAAAAAAAAAUCUUUUGGCCGCAUAUUGUGAACAAAAUCCUAUCUCUGGUGAACCUUACAAGCAGCUAAAUUUCCUUCCAUUAGUCUAUCUUUUGCACAUGAACUGUUUUCAUUUUGUUUAUAUUUGAUCUUAACAUGUCCUGAUUUUGGCCAUGCAUUUGUCAUGUUUUAAAUUGAAAUUGUCUACGUAUCUACUAAUUACAUCUUUUAGAAGCAUAUUUAAAUUAUCCCUACCUCAUUCAAUUGUUGAAAUGGAGGUUGAUCUUUAGUACUUCCCGCUAUGUAAAAAUUCAGUUUGUUUUGGAUUUUGAACUAAAGCUGUCUAGAUUUGGCAAUUCAAUAUAUAAGUAUUUAUUCAAUAUAUAUGUUAUAAUUACAUUUUAGUGUCAUGCUAUCUUGGCGUAUAAUAGGUUAUCCCUUAAAUUAUCAAUUGAUUCCAUUUAUUUCUCUUGGUUCACAGCUAAAAGCAUUUCAACAGUGCCUCCGUGGGAGAAGAAGUUUUGUUAUUCAGUUGGCUCAGUUCCAUGGCGAAAUGUAGUAGAAUGCAAGAGGUAUAUGUAUAUGCAUCCCAAUGUGGUAAACUGGGACGACUCUGCUGUCAAAGAAGCAUUUGACGAUGCAAAAAACAGGUUUUGGGCCGAGUUCAACGGCUUUGCCUGUGACAUACCAUUGCCUGAUCCUAACAUUUACAUCGACGAUGUAGAUUGGAAUGCAACUGUUGAUCCUGAACUUUAUCUAGAUCUGGAUAAAGAAGCAGAGGCCCGCCGCAACAUGGAACAAAAAACUGAGGAGCCUGUGAUUCUCGGCAGUUCUCUACUCUUGAAUCAGUCCUUUUCUGGUCCAGGAUGGCCGGCACCUACCGGAUGGGGGGACGAAGAAGAAAAAGAAGUAACAAAGUCUUCUCAACCAACAAAAACUGAGGAGGCUGUGAUUCUCACUAGUUCUUUCCUCUUGAAUCAGUCCUUUACUGGUCCAGGAUGGGGACCUACCGGAUGGGGGGACGAAGAAGUAACAAAGCCUUACGAACCAAAUUAUGCUGCCAAUGGAUGGGAAUCAAACCAACAUGAAAAUAUUGAAACAAACUCUUGGGAACAACAGUAUCAUGUUCCCGUUGAUGAACAUGCAAAAGAUUAUGGAUGGUGGCAAACUGGUCAGAGUGGUUAUCAGGGAUGGAAUCUGAAGGAGCAGUAUGGUGGUGGCGUGCAUGACAAGUAUCAAGGAAGAAAUGGUGGGAGUGGAAAUUGGGGAACAUGGGAUGGCUAUAACAGAAAGAGAGA
Molecule: long non-coding RNA, 6723 nt
Filed under: Trifolium pratense (red clover)
Lineage: Eukaryota; Viridiplantae; Streptophyta; Magnoliopsida; Fabales; Fabaceae
Description: long non-coding RNA (TPRA_LNC006777)
Source: RNAcentral